AUUAAAUGCUGUGUACUCUGAGGUCGAGGUUCUCUGGUGAGUAGCCGGAUCUCUCAUGUUGAGGUUAAAGAUGCUGGAGUUAGAGGAGGGAAACCUUCAGCCUGUCUUAAUUAGGCCCACUUCAGACAGGCAAAGACGCCUCAGCCACCGUCCCCUCCCCCUGUGAAUGCAGACAGUCAACCCGAGAUAAAGAUGCUUUGGCUGCUGAGGGGAGAUUGGCAGCUCUGAGUGGCCAGCAGAUGAAGCGGCUGGCACGCUAAUGAAUAGAACGCUGAUUGCAGGAUCCCCAAGAUGCAAAUUACCGUGCCUGCCACCCCUGACGACCGGCAAUUACCGGGCCGCCGCGGCGGACGCCUCGUGCAUAUUCAUCGCACCCGCUGGGCAUAUUGAUCAACAACUUACUUCAAGCAAGAAGCACUAAAAAAUGUAUCAUGUUGCUCAGUCAGUGCUAAAAAAACCACACUCUCUUUUCCUUGUUGUCAGAAUCGACACAGUAAUAUCCAAUAGGACAAGCCCUUUAACUAUGUAAGGAGUAUUUAUUUUAAUCAGGCUCAGAUAUAGGCUAAUUGCUAAUAUGUUACAUUCUGAAAGAUGUGACAAAACAUGUCAUUCAUUAGGAAAUAGUGUUAAUUCAAAUAUUAAUUCCUGCUAGUACUUUACCUAAUUAACUGCACUUAAAGGUCACGGCCCCUGGUACUGACAUGCAGCUUUAAGUUUUGUCUUAUUUUGGCAAAUAUUUCAGUUUUUAUAGAUUUAUUUUGUAAUUUAUAUCACACAAAAUGAGGUGAAGUAUUAAAUGCGAUUCAUUUUUUCCAAAUUGACUUAACACCAUUUACGCCUAUCAAAGAUUAGUUCAGUUUCACUUAGUUUUCACGUGUCAUUAGUCUUUGAAAGUCAGAAUUAUGUCAUUAUAAUAAUAGCUGUUCAUAAGGGGCUGUGUUAAAGUGACAAGUGUUUUUCCUGUUUUCAUGCUGUUAGCAUACACCUUCUCUUACCCUGUUAUUUCAAAUCUGUAUUUAACCCUCAGUGUGUCAGUAUCAGUGUUAAGUUCUCCUGCUUUAGUUAAAAAUUUAUGCAAAUGAUA
Molecule: long non-coding RNA, 1084 nt
Organism: Lates calcarifer (barramundi perch)
Lineage: Eukaryota; Metazoa; Chordata; Actinopteri; Centropomidae
Exons: 3
Source: RefSeq, a predicted model, not a curated record